Molecule: ribosomal RNA, 450 nt
Filed under: uncultured bacterium
Lineage: Bacteria
Description: SSU rRNA
Rfam family: Bacterial small subunit ribosomal RNA
Source: RNAcentral
AGGAUGAACGCUGGCGGCGUGCCUAAACAUGCAAGUCAUACGGGCUACCUUCGGGUAGCCAGUGGCAAACGGGUGAGUAACACGUGGGAACGCGCCUUGGGGUGGGGAAUAACGCUGAGAAAUCAGUGCUAAUACCGCAUAUGGUCUAACGACUAAAGCAGCAAUGCGCCCCGAGAGCGGCCCGCGACCGAUUAGCUAGUUGGUGGGGUAAUGGCCUACCAAGGCGGUGAUCGGUAGCUGGUCUGAGAGGAUGGUCAGCCACACUGGGACUGCGAACGGCCCAGACUCCUACGGGAGGCAGCAGUUAGGAAUUUUCGGCAAUGGACGAAAGUCUGACCGAGCGACGCCGCGUGGAGGAUGACGCCUUUCGGGGUGUAAACUCCUUUUCUGCGGGAAGAUAAUGACGGUACCGCAGGAAUAAGCACCGGCUAACUACGUGCCAGCAGCCGC